AACAGGCACAGAGGGAAUAAAACACUACUGCACAAAACAACGUAAUCCAUUCUAAUUAUUUCAUAUGUAUUAUAAUUUAAGGAAUCCUAAUAAAGUAAACUGCAAGAGAAAACGUGGAAGAAUACAAAGAAAGAACAUCUCAGACCUCCUAGGAGGUGCAGUGAUGGGAGCCCUGGUGGCAUCCAAAGGAAGUUCCCUUUUUUCAGAAUUCUGGAAUACUCUGAGAAAAACAGCCCCCAGAAAUGAUGGACUUGAUCCCAGUGUAUGGAAUGGUGCAAUAAUGUCACGUGGGCAGUGCAGUGUCACUGAAACUGGUGGCUGGAGGUGAUAAGGAGCUCAAGUUUGGAGCAGCGAUGGAAAAUCUCCCAGGGAUGAUUGCUGCUAGGAGUGAAAAGAAAGCAUAAAGACUGGGAGGGAUGCUCUUCAAUGGAAAAUUCACUGUGUGGUCAAAGAGCAGAAGAGUCUGCAGAGAGCUCUAUUUGUGCAUUCUGCAUCGAAGCUGCCGAAUGGACCCUCCUGAGGCUAUGGAUGGACCAGCUCUUGAAGCAGUUUGACAAGGACAUGGAUGAAGUUAUCUUACGCCAGUGGCAGCGGAACGUUGAUGAAGAGCCCAGUAGCAAUUAUGAAUUGGCGGCUGCCAACAGAAUGUGGGAGUCUGCUUGUCUCAUCUGCACGUGCUGCACAUCUCUGUAACUAACCAGUUAACUUUCCUCCUCUGCAACCAAAUGCCAGCUCUGUCAUUAGAUGCUGGGCAAAGGAGAGAUUUUAAACUGAAAAAAUGCGUAUUUUUAAUUAAAAAGCUAUUUAGUACUUCAGUCAGACCAUUUCCAUGAACAAUUGCGUGGAGAGAAUUGGAAUUGUGGGUGGAAGGCAGGAGAAUGGAGUCUUGUCUGUUGGUGCUGAUUUGGCAAGAGUUGUUUAGUGACUGCACAGUCAUUUAUUGUACCUUAACCUGGUGCGUAUGCUCCGCAGUUCCUCUCUCUGCUGUUUGAUCACAGCUCUGUAGGAAUGCGAUGUUUUGGUUAAUUCCAAAUCCUUAAACACUUCAAGGUUUCUCAUGAUUUUGAGAUGUUAGAGGUGAUUGCAGGAGGAUGCUGUGGAAAAAAAUAAUUCAGUGAGUUAAUGCAGCAUCUCCAUCGCUGGAUCUUCUUGCAGGGAGAGAACUUGCAACAUCCUCAUCGGGAAUUUUUCAUGUUGAUGUUAUCAAGCCCUUUCAUUAUAGUAAGAUGAAAUGAG
RNAcentral lists this long non-coding RNA (1236 nucleotides) under Numida meleagris (helmeted guineafowl). RNAcentral's name for it is "lncRNA (ENSNMEG00000000871.1)". Lineage: Eukaryota; Metazoa; Chordata; Aves; Galliformes; Numididae. The record is from RNAcentral.